This 254-nucleotide ribosomal RNA is filed under the name uncultured bacterium. RNAcentral's name for it is "partial 16S ribosomal RNA". It matches the Rfam family "Bacterial small subunit ribosomal RNA", at positions 524 to 776 of the family's 1533-position model. The record is from RNAcentral.
UACGGGGGAUCCAAGCGUUAUCCGGAAUUACUGGGCGUAAAGAGUUGCGUAGGCGGCAUAGUAAGCAAAUAGUGAAAGCGUGGGGCUCAACCUCAUAUACAUUAUUUGAACUGCUAAGCUAGAGGAUGAGAGAGGUAGCUGGAAUUCCCUGUGUAGGAGUGAAAUCCGUAGAUAUAGGGAGGAACACCGAUGGCGUAGGCAGGCUACUGGCUCAUUUCUGACGCUCAGGCACGAAAGCGUGGGGAGCGACCGGG